Molecule: transfer RNA, 65 nt
Filed under: Pyrophorus divergens (Brazilian luminescent click beetle)
Lineage: Eukaryota; Metazoa; Arthropoda; Insecta; Coleoptera; Elateridae
Description: tRNA-Glu
Rfam family: tRNA
About the family: Transfer RNA (tRNA) molecules are approximately 80 nucleotides in length.
Source: RNAcentral
AUUUAUAUAGUUUAAAGAAAACAUUACAUUUUCAUUGUAAAAUUAAAAACCAGUUUUUAUAAAUA